Molecule: ribosomal RNA, 1434 nt
Filed under: uncultured organism
Description: SSU rRNA
Rfam family: Bacterial small subunit ribosomal RNA
Source: RNAcentral
GCUAGCUACAGGCUUAACACAUGCAAGUCGAGGGGCAGCAUGGUCUUAGCUUGCUAAGGCCGAUGGCGACCGGCGCACGGGUGAGUAACGCGUAUCCAACCUGCCUUACACUCUUGGACAGCCUUCUGAAAGGGAGAUUAAUACAAGAUGUUAUCAUGAGUAAGCAUUUUCGCAUGAUUAAAGGUUUACCGGUGUAAGAUGGGGAUGCGUUCCAUUAGAUAGUAGGCGGGGUAACGGCCCACCUAGUCUUCGAUGGAUAGGGGUUCUGAGAGGAAGGUCCCCCACAUUGGAACUGAGACACGGUCCAAACUCCUACGGGAGGCAGCAGUGAGGAAUAUUGGUCAAUGGACGAGAGUCUGAACCAGCCAAGUAGCGUGAAGGAUGAAGGUUCUAUGGAUUGUAAACUUCUUUUAUACGGGAAUAAACGAAUCCACGCGUGGAUUUUUGCAUGUACCGUAUGAAUAAGGAUCGGCUAACUCCGUGCCAGCAGCCGCGGUAAUACGGAGGAUCCGAGCGUUAUCCGGAUUUAUUGGGUUUAAAGGGAGCGUAGAUGGGUUGUUAAGUCAGUUGUGAAAGUUUGCGGCUCAACCGUAAAAUUGCAAUUGAUACUGGCAGUCUUGAGUACAGUUGAGGUAGGCGGAAUUCGUGGUGUAGCGGUGAAAUGCUUAGAUAUCACGAAGAACUCCGAUUGCGAAGGCAGCUUACUAACCUGUAACUGACAUUGAUGCUCGAAAGUGUGGGUAUCAAACAGGAUUAGAUACCCUGGUAGUCCACACGGUAAACGAUGAAUACUCGCUGUAGGCGAUAUACAGUCUGCGGCCAAGCGAAAGCAUUAAGUAUUCCACCUGGGGAGUACGCCGGCAACGGUGAAACUCAAAGGAAUUGACGGGGGCCCGCACAAGCGGAGGAACAUGUGGUUUAAUUCGAUGAUACGCGAGGAACCUUACCCGGGCUUAAAUUGCAACCGAAUAUGGCGGAAACGCUAUAGCUAGCAAUAGCGGUUGUGAAGGUGCUGCAUGGUUGUCGUCAGCUCGUGCCGUGAGGUGUCGGCUUAAGUGCCAUAACGAGCGCAACCCUUGCCGAUAGUUACUAACAGGUUAUGCUGAGGACUCUGUCGGGACUGCCAUCGUAAGAUGUGAGGAAGGUGGGGAUGACGUCAAAUCAGCACGGCCCUUACGUCCGGGGCUACACACGUGUUACAAUGGGGGGUACAGAGGGCUGCUACCACGCAAGUGGAUGCCAAUCCCAAAAACCUCUCUCAGUUCGGAUUGAAGUCUGCAACCCGACUUCAUGAAGCUGGAUUCGCUAGUAAUCGCGCAUCAGCCACGGCGCGGUGAAUACGUUCCCGGGCCUUGUACACACCGCCCGUCAAGCCAUGGGAGCCGGGGGUACAAGAAGUGCGUAACCGCAAGGAGCGCCCUAGGGUAAAACUGG